CAGUGUUUAUAAAAUAUAAUCGCUAUAUAUAUAUAUAUAUAUAUAUAUAUAUAUAUAUAUAUAUAUAUAUAUAUAUAUAUAUAUAUAUAUAUAUAUAUAUUGGGCGAUUAACCUACAGGAUUGCUCUACAGAUAGACAUAUAUCCAUUGAAAAUAUCUGAUAUAAUCCGCACCCUUCUGUAAAUAACACGGAUUAAAACAAAGGACGGUGAUCACAAUGAAAUUCCUUGAAUCAAUAUAUGAAAAUAUGCAGGAAACAUUUAUAAUCGUAUUAUGCUCCUAGUCUAGUGUCAUCAUAUGUCUGCUAAUCGUCUUCCAAACAACGGCACCGAUUAGUGCUUUAACGAGUUUCGUUUAUUUGAAUAUAGGAUGACUAAAUCUCAAUUCAGUAAUGAAAGAUUAUGGUGAAUCAGCUUCGGCUUGGAUUUAAUGUGAUGUGGUUUCCAAGAACGCAAUGUUCCUUCUAAACCUUCCAUCUGCUUUUAAAGAGAUAGCCUAGUUAUUGUUAUGGGAUCCUAAUAUCAGGAAUGUCAUUUGUAUUGGCUCUUUGCUUAUUUAACGGCUCCCGGAUUCCCAUGUUCUCCUUACCACGUGUCUGCUGUUUUGACGUCUAACAAUGCAGGAUUACGGGGGUUAUUAAUUAGAACAGCAGUCUGAUGCCAUUCAGAGCGGAUGGUAAUAACUACAUAACCGUCAAUAACACCCACACGGACCUGCAGAGCUAACAAGAGCUCUCAGCCCACCCAGCUGACCCCACAGCACUGCGCCAUCUGGGAUUAUACAAAACACAGCUAACCCUCUAGGUUUCAAGCAGUCUGGUUUUCUUUAUAAUCUUAUUUACCUACAGGUACUUGCAUUUUUUUUUUUUUUUUUUGAUGUAAGCUAAACGUUUUCAAAUCACUGAAUGUAGUGAAACUGGGAGCUCGGGGAAAGGAUAAGUGUGCGUGUUGGAGUCCGCCCUGCAGCGCUCAGAAUUCGGAUGGACACGUGUCUCAUCCCGGGACCUGUCAGGGUCUCAAGCUGCUGUAGCAGGUUUGUAUGUAGCUGCAGGAGAAGCAGCUGUACUAACACAGAGGCCCCUAUCCACCCAGAGGCACUGAUAACCCUGCUGGAAGAAUAGCUCACAGUCUACAUAUUGAUGCAUCCUCAAAUAUAAAGUCAAGUAGGGUUUUACAGAUUGCAUGCCUUGUAUAAUUUUCCAGUUAAGAAACUAGCCUCAUGUCUUUAUAGUUUUUCUGUCCUUAUUAUAUUUUAGAACCGGCUAAUAGCAAAUUGUAGUGCGAGCUGCUAUCAGGUCUAGACUGAAUAGCAUUAUGGUAUUCGGUGUGUGUGUGUAAUCUGUAAUAUUGAGUGGCACAGCAUGCCAACACACUGAGGUCAGUGCAGUUUAUACUGCCAGCACUUAUACUCAGCAUGCAGUUAGUGAUAUGACAUAG
Cyprinus carpio carpio is the source of this 1435-nucleotide long non-coding RNA. Lineage: Eukaryota; Metazoa; Chordata; Actinopteri; Cypriniformes; Cyprinidae. The record is from Ensembl.